This is a small nuclear RNA of Protopterus annectens (West African lungfish), 162 nucleotides long. RefSeq annotates it as U1 spliceosomal RNA. The record is from RefSeq and is a predicted model, not a curated record. The transcript has a single exon. Lineage: Eukaryota; Metazoa; Chordata; Ceratodontiformes; Protopteridae.
AUACCUCACAGGGGGAUUACCACAAUCAAAAAAGUGGUUUCCACAGGGUGAGGUUCUUCCAUUGCACACUUCGGCUGGGUUGACCACUGCGAUUUCUCCAAAUGUGGAAAGCUCAACUGCAUGACUUAUGGUAGUAGGGGACUGUGUUCACACAGUCCCCUG